RNAcentral lists this ribosomal RNA (87 nucleotides) under Brochothrix thermosphacta. The record is from RNAcentral. Lineage: Bacteria; Bacillati; Bacillota; Bacilli; Caryophanales; Listeriaceae.
UGUUCCCAUCCCGAACACAGUAGUUAAGCUUUUUAGCGCCGAUGGUAGUUGGGGGUUUCCCCCUGUGAGAGUAGGACAUUGCCAAGC